CGAAUCGGAGCUACAGCUCCUAGUCUACACCACAGCCACGCUGGAUCUGAGCUGUGUCUGUGACCUACACCACAGCUCAUGGCAGCACUGGAUCCUUAACCCACUGAUCAAGGCCAGGGAUCAAACCCGUGUCCUCAUGGGUACUAGUUGGGUUUGUUACCGCUGAGCCACAAGGAAACGCCUGUCUUGUUGCUUUCAAGUGAUUAAAAGAAGAUGCAACGGUUAAGAAAUUCUUGUUAUACUUGCAGUUGUGAUUAGGUAAGCACACUUUGUAAUUAUCAUAUUAAUUGCCGAUAUUCAAAUGAGAGCUUGAAGGUUUUUUUUUUUUUUUUUUUUAAAGAUGGACAUUCUCAUAGUCUUUAUUUUAUUAGUGUUUUGGGAGCUAGAUAUGGUGCAACAGGAAAUAGCACAGCCCUUGUUUAAAUGGUCACAAACAUCAAAUGAGCUGGAUACAGUGAUGGAAUUUUCACUCUCUGCUCAAAUGGCAGGCCCGAAGCUGAUUUUGCCACCCAAGUGGCUGAAGAGGGAAGGACAUGAUCAUGUUUGUCAACUGAAGCCGCGGGGACAGGGCUUCACCACGGCUCCAUGGAGCUGCCUGCUCCAGUGGAAUUUCAUGUUUUGUCUUUCUCCCCUUGGAAAGCGCUGGAAGAACAGCCCGUAGUCCACGUGAGAUCCUGCAGGACCACAUAGCAUUGGUUAAUCAGAGUCUUUCCAGAGCAUUUGAAAGUGUGAUGCAAAACUCAGGUCAGGAAAUGCUGUCAACUGGAAUUAGGAGGCUGCAUUAUUUGACUAAGACAGGCAAGCAAGGGCCAUUCUGGGUCCUGGGCCUUUGUUUCCUCUCUCUUCUUUCACUGUAAGCCCAGAACCCACAGAGCCACUGAAGAGCACCCAAAAGGCUGUGGUGGAAGAGGAAGCAAUAUUUUUGCUUCCAGUAUCCGAGGCAGGAUGCAGGGCCUGGAUGGCAGCUGAGGAGCUCGACACAGAGGAGCAAAAACUCAGGUUUUGCUAAAAUGCACCCCAGGACAGCCUUUCCUUCUAGAAAGUUCUCCUCAGAGGUCAAGGCACUGAGCUGCUGGGAUGCUUAGGUUUGCCCAGAGAAGAGAGGGACGGAAGGCAGGAGAAGGUGGCAGGCCCUCAGCCCAGCCUAGACAGCUUCCAGGGAGGGAGGACAGGGCGCUCGGGUGCAGGCCUGGCUCUCUUACAGAACCCCGCCUUCACCGCUAGGCAUUCCCAAGGCCCCCAGCCGCCUCUGCCACAGGUUCUGCAGCUGGAGCUGAGCUCAACAGCACUCAGGGCUGGGUUCCAGUCCACAUGUCACCCUGCAUUCCGGGCCUGCUGUGGCCACCACUGGCUGUGGGCCCUUAGUGGAUCUCUGAGCAGCUCUGGGGUUUCAGGCUUCUCCCCCAUCUGCUGAAUGCAUCUUGUUCCCAUGUGGCCCUGGGUGCAGCCUCACAGGAGAAUCUCCAAUGACCAGAAAGAGGUCUAAUUUUUUUUUCUCCUUUUUUGGCUGCCUUGUGGCAUAUGGAGCUCCCAGGCCAGGGAUCAGAUCACAACCUAAGACACAGCUGCAGCAACGAUGGAUCCUUAACCCACUGAGCCUGUCUGGGGGAUCGAACCUGUGGUCCUGGUGCUCCCAAGACAUAGCCUAUCCCCUUGCACCACAGCGGGAACUCUGAAGUCCAAUUUUUCUGUCUUCUAGGAAGGAGGAUUUUCUUGGCUGUAUGUAAAAGACUCUGAAUAACAGCAGCUUGAACAGCACCAAAGUUUCUCUCCCUUUGAUGCCAAAGCCUGGAUGAAGGCACUUCCGGGCAGUGUGAUAGUGCCUGGUCCUCCCUAAACCAGGCUCUCCAGGCAGUCUGAGGGUGUGCUUUUGAGCCUAAGGUCCAAGGUGAGCUUGGGCUGUCCUGUCUGUGCCCCUGGAGGAGGACGGAGGAUGCAGGAAGGAGAGGCAGGACCCCUUCUUUUAAGGGGACUUGAACCAGAUGCUACCCACGUCCCUUCCUCACCCUCCACCAGCCGGCAGUCACCUGGCCACAGGAGAGCAGGGAAACAUGGCCUCAAACCCAGCUAAAUAUCAGCAGACUUACUGCACAAGAAGGAAGGAAUGAUUAUUGAGGGAAUGGCAGUCAUCCUUUGACAUGGUUUUGUUUUGUUGGUUUUUUUUUGGUCAAACUUUUCUGUAUUGAUUUUUUUUUAAAUUCCAAACUACUUGCUUAUAAACACAUCAAGCUGUAGGAGGGAAGGAAGGAAGAAAGAACGGGAGGGAGAGAGAGAAAAAGAAAAAAAGAACAAACAAAUGGACUCAAGGCCCCUUAGGGAACUAAGAUUAACAGUUUGGUGUGUAUCCUUUCCUGUUUCUUGAGAGACAUGAAAAAUACACAAACCCUUCUGUCUCCCCACCCACUUUUAAUUUUUUCUAAAUGAGAUCUGCACUUUAGAGAGAAAAUAUUUUUCUGCAACGUGCUUAUUUCCAAAUCUCAAUGACUCUGUUGAUCGCUAACUAUAUAUGGCUCCAACUUGUUCUUGACAAUAACUACAUAGCUUAUAGUAUGGAUUUCAUAGUUGAAUGCACUGUAAUUUCUCCUACCAUUCCCCACUAGAAUAUAUAGGAUAGUUCUUUUUAUUGUGCCUGUAGGUAACGUGGCAAGAAACAACCUCGUGCACAUAUCCUUAAGUCUGCCUUUCUGGAGGAUGCUUGAUCACUGUUGGGAGGAAGAAGAGAAAAGCGAAGACCCGUGUUGAUAAGACAGCACCGUUUCUAGGAAUCCACGUGUUUCAUUCUGUCUGCUCUUGGGGAGGAAAUAAUGGGGGGCAUAUUCCCUCUUGUCUGAGAAGGAGAUGAAGCCCCUGUGUCCUGGGAAGGCUGGAAUGAAGCUUUGUAGGGUGAGGAGAACAGCCUGGGCGCCCCCACGGCAGCACAGGAACCCUCCCAGAUCUGGGCAGACCGCGCGCAGGGCCACAGCCCGGAGGCACAGAACCAGAGGCACAGCACCUGUGCAGAGCCUGACCCAGAACGUGCUGGAGAAAGAGGACAGAACAAAUGCAGACAAGCUGUGCUCACAGGCAGGCCCCAGGCCAGGAAUGACUGUGCCCAGAAACCCCAGGUUUUGGGAAUAGGACAUCAGAGGGUGACUGCAGCCCAAGCAGGAAGGGACCGCAUGGCUCCCUUAGCUGGGACUUGGGGCCUUAGCUGCAUGCUUGUACCAUGGCUUUCCCGGGGGGAAGCUGCACCACACUAGAUGGAGACGCUGCUGGUUGUACCUGUGAGGGUCUGUGCCUGUGGAGGCCCCAUGUGACCUGAGGCUGUGGAUGGGGAGCCCUCCUCCCACAAAACUGCCUGGGCUGCUAUUUCUGCAGCACUAGCUCUGCUCCAGGGACCGAAAUCCACAGGCCGGGCCUAGCAACAGUCACCAAGCUAAACAAACAGCAGAGGAGGCCUGGAUCACAGCUGGCUCCCUUUUUGGGGGUGGCCCGCGGGAGGCAUGUCAGCCUCCACAGUGUGGUCUCCUGGGGGUGGGGGGAGGCAGGGAGCCCACCCAAGACUCCUGGGGCUGCUAUGCACACACAGAUGAGCGCAGCCGUUUGUUAUGUGUAAUUAGAUUGAGCUAAUUUCCUCGGGCGGCCCAGAGCCGGAGAUAGCAGGGUUUUCAAAAAAAACCACGUUAUCUCAUGUCGUGUCAGUGUCAUCAUGGCAAAGCUGGACUGAAAAGAAAGAACAUUUCUGAGA
This 3727-nucleotide long non-coding RNA is filed under the name Sus scrofa (pig). RNAcentral's name for it is "lncRNA (ENSSSCG00060054446.1)". The record is from RNAcentral. Lineage: Eukaryota; Metazoa; Chordata; Mammalia; Artiodactyla; Suidae.